RNAcentral lists this ribosomal RNA (400 nucleotides) under phytoplankton environmental sample. Its description in RNAcentral is "partial small subunit ribosomal RNA". It matches the Rfam family "Eukaryotic small subunit ribosomal RNA", at positions 587 to 995 of the family's 1831-position model. The record is from RNAcentral.
AGCUCCAAGAGCGUAUAUUAAAGUUGCUGCGGUUAAAAAGCUCGUAGUUGGAUUUCAGUCUAGGAAGGUUAACUCGCCGAAAGGUUGUACGUUGAUUUUCCUCAGACUUCGUCAGAAGCUCGUGCUGCACUUAACUGUGUGGUACGAUGUUCUGACCUUUUACCUUGAGGAAAGUAGAGUGUUUCAGGCAGGCUACCCAGCUUGAAUACAUUAGCAUGGAAUAAUGAAAUGGAUCUCGGUUCGAUUUCGUUGGUUCUAGAGCUGAGGUGAUGAUCAAUAGGAACAGGCGAAGGUAUUCGUACUUGAGAGUGAGGAGUGAAAUCCGAUGAUCUCUUAAAGACGAUCCGAGGCGAAAGCAUUUGUCAAGGAUGUUUUCAUUGAUCAAGAACGAAAGUACGCA